Molecule: long non-coding RNA, 323 nt
Filed under: Vigna radiata
Lineage: Eukaryota; Viridiplantae; Streptophyta; Magnoliopsida; Fabales; Fabaceae
Description: long non-coding RNA (VRAD_LNC005770)
Source: RNAcentral
GGUGUUUCAAAUGUAGCGUUGAGAAGUUGACUAUUUUUUCCCACACCCGCCUCCUGUUUAUUCUGGAAUGGAGAUUCCGGAAAAGCACGUUUCACAUGAGAAUGGGAAUGGGAGAAAAAGUAAGAUGAUGUUUAAUGACUUCCACUGCCGCAUUUUGUCUUUUAAGACUUACCCUCUUUUGGGCUUAAUUCAGACAGUGGAUGUUUCAUCAAAUAGUCUUGUACUGCUAGCGCUUCCAUAAAUGGCUGAAUCUCGUUGCAUUACAACUGAGUUUAUCCAGGAUUGAAGUAUAUUUUAUAGACCGAGAACUACUUGAAAAAAAU